This 484-nucleotide ribosomal RNA is filed under the name uncultured bacterium. RNAcentral's name for it is "partial 16S ribosomal RNA". It matches the Rfam family "Bacterial small subunit ribosomal RNA", at positions 30 to 507 of the family's 1533-position model. The record is from RNAcentral.
AUUGAACGCUGGCGGCAGGCCUAACACAUGCAAGUCGAGCGGAUGAAGGGAGCUUGCUCCUGGAUUCAGCGGCGGACGGGUGAGUAAUGCCUAGGAAUCUGCCUGGUAGUGGGGGAUAACGUCCGGAAACGGGCGCUAAUACCGCAUACGUCCUGAGGGAGAAAGUGGUGGAUCUUCGGACCUCACGCUAUCAGAUGAGCCUAGGUCGGAUUAGCUAGUUGGUGGGGUAAAGGCCUACCAAGGCGACGAUCCGUAACUGGUCUGAGAGGAUGAUCAGUCACACUGGAACUGAGACACGGUCCAGACUCCUACGGGAGGCAGCAGUGGGGAAUAUUGGACAAUGGGCGAAAGCCUGAUGCAGCCAUGCCGCGUGUGUGAAGAAGGUCUUCGGAUUGUAAAGCACUUUAAGUUGGGAGGAAGGGCAGUAAGUUAAUACCUUGCUGUUUUGACGUUACCAACAGAAUAAGCACCGGCUAACUUCGUG